Molecule: ribosomal RNA, 253 nt
Filed under: uncultured bacterium
Lineage: Bacteria
Description: partial 16S ribosomal RNA
Rfam family: Bacterial small subunit ribosomal RNA
Source: RNAcentral
UACAGAGGUGGCAAGCGUUGUUCGGAUUUAUUGGGCGUAAAGGGUCCGUAGUCGGCCUGGAAAGUUGGAUGUGAAAUCCCACAGCUUAACUGUGGAACUGCAUUCAAAACUUCUAGGCUCGAGUGUGAUAGGGGUAAUGGGAAUUCCCGGUGUAAGGGUGAAAUCUGCAGAGAUCGGGAGGGACACCAGUCGCGAAGGCGCAUUACUGGAUCACUACUGACGAUGAGGGACGAAAGCCAGGGGAGCAAACGGG